Long non-coding RNA from Gasterosteus aculeatus aculeatus (three-spined stickleback), 4019 nucleotides. NCBI's taxonomy places the organism in Eukaryota, Metazoa, Chordata, Actinopteri, Perciformes, Gasterosteidae. The record is from Ensembl.
GAGGCCAGCAGUAGAUGGACAUGUUGAGAAGGGGGAGGCCAGCAGUAGAUGGAGAUGUUGAGAAGGGGGAGGCCAGCAGUAGAUGGAGAUGUUGAGAAGGGGGAGACCAGCAGUAGAUGGACAUGUUGAGAAGGGGGAGGCCAGCAGUAGAUGGACAUGUUGAGAAGGGGGAGGCCAGCAGUAGAUGGACAUGUUGAGAAGGGGGAGGCCAGCGGGCGCUGAGGUAAUGGCUCACUGGUCUAUUGUUCCCUCUCUUCUUCCUCACCCUCCACCGUCUCCUUCUCCCAUCCAGUCCCCCCCCCCACUACACCCACAACCCCCCUUUCUGGACUUCAAAGGGAAGGAAGGAAGUUGAAAACAAGGUGAAUUAAUUUCCCCCUCGUACCAAGCCUACAUGUUGCAGCGGAUGUGCUUUUUAAUUGCUUGUGCUAAAUGCGGAACCUAUUUUUGCCUCCUUUACAAAAGCCUAAAUGAUGAUCCGGGUGGAAUCCAUGCCGAUGCCAGCAGACCUCAUGAAACAUUAACGCUGCUCACACAAGCAACGACCUUGAAAACAAGUCGCGAGAAAGCCAAAGAAAGGGACGCUGUAAAGUGCGACUCGGCCAACACGUGGCUUCAUCAAUUGUGCUCAAACUGACAUUCCUCGGCAUCUUUAACCCUCCACCCAGAAGCCUCGGCGCAGACCGAACCCUGUGAAGUGGAUCAAUGGGAGGAUUAUCGCAGGACCAAGAUGCCCGUUAGAGCGCCGCUCUGCGCUGCCUCAGUGACGGGAGAAGAUGAGAGGCUUUUCCUUUCAUCUUGUGCUGGCGCAUCGGAGGGGGCCGAUGAUAAUGAUGUGGAGGCCCGACCCGCUCUCGCCCGUCCUCUACCGCCAAAAUAAAAGGCCUGUGGAGGGUCGGACGGGACAAACGGAUUUAGUCAGGCGGAUUUUGGAUUCAUGUGAAUUUAUCCCAGAAUUGUUUUUUUUGCUUCCUCGGGAGGAAUGUUAUCGAUGCAACAGUGGUGUGUGUGUGUGUGCGUGUGUGUGCGUGUGUGCGUGUGUGCGUGUGUGUGCGUGUGUGCAUGUGUGUGUGCGUGUGCUCCAGUUGUUUCCUCCGUCUCAUCAGAUCCAGCUGAACACCUCUGUCCUCUCUCAAGGACACCCCUCCCUUCGUCCCUCACAUUGUGUCUCUGUCUCUCCCUCUGUUGCUUUUUCUUUCUCACACACACACACACACACACACACACACACACACACACACACACACACACACACACACACACACACACACACACACACAGUCACUCACACUUCACCUAUACACACUUCACACACACCCACACUCACACGUUCUCUCUCUCCCUGUGUGUGACAGGCGGCGGUGCUGGAGAUGGCUGCUGACAUUCUGGACAGUAAAAGGCUUAAGGUGGAUUGUGUGUGUGUGUGUGUGUGUGCGUGUGCGCGUGUGUGUCUCUGAGGCAGAUGGAGAAACCUCUCAUUUCUUCCUCCAGUGUCUCUACAUGUUAUCUGAGCGCUGCUGUCGCACACAGAGUCUCCAGCGGCUCGUCUGUUGGACGGUUUCCUAAAGCCUGAUGGUUAUCAUAAUAAGGUGGAAGGUCAGAAAUCUCUUAAUUAGUGCUAAAUAGGAAUUAGAUUAGGCUUUUGUCCACUUCAGAAGCAGCUCUAGUUAAACAGAUUAGCGGAUUAGGCCGGGAUGAGGACAGAGAGGGAAAGGUUGACACGUCGGUGACGAGGAGCACAUUAUCUGAUUGGCUGUCAGUCAGCUUUGGGGAAAGGUGACGGCGCGGCCAACACGCCACCACGUGUCAAUCGUGUCUCGGGACAGUGUGAACACCCACAGAACUCUCAUUGCCUUUGUGUGCGCUACCAUGUCAGGCGACGUCAUCGCCUCUUUCCACUUUAAAACGUAUGUGUUUUGCUCCACGUCCACACGGAAACGCUCCCGAGGACGGAUCCGUUUGAAGGGCUCACGGGUUGCGGACGGUUGAAGACGGAUCCGCAUGGCCACCCGAUUGGUUGUGAGCAGUCGUAACGCGUCCUUCCCUUAAUCGUCACACUCCGAUCAUGUGACCGCUUCCAGGAAGAAAACCAACAGCCGCGGCUGCGUUGUUGUCUCUAAACUCUGCAUUUGACUUAUUAUAAUUACUCAUUAUAAUGACUUAUUAUUUAUGGCAAUGAAGAUCUCAUGUAGAUACAGAUCUCAUGGGGACGAAAAUCUCAUGUGGAUAAAGAUAUCAUGGGGGUGAAGAUCUCGUGUGGAUGAUCAUCUCAAGUGGAUGAAAACCUCAUAGGGAUGAAGAUCUCAUGUAGAUACAGAUCUUGUGUGGAUGAUCAUCUCAAGUGGAUGAAGAUAUCAUAGGGAUGAUCAUCUUAAGUGGAUGAUCAUCUCAAGUGGAUGAAGAUCUCAUGGGGAUGAAGAUCUCAUGGGGACAAAGAGCUCAUGGGGACAAGAUCUCAUGGGGAUGAAGAUCUCAUGUAGAUACAGAUCUCAUGGGGACGAAGAUCUCGUGUGGAUGAUCAUCUCAAGUGGAUAAAGAUCUCAUGUGGAUGAAGAUCUCAUGGGGAUGAAGAUCUCAUGGGAAUGAAGAUCUCAUGUAAAUAAAGAUCUCAUUGGGACGAAGAUCUCAUGUAGAUAAAGAUCUCAUGUAGAUACAGAUCUCAUGACAACGAAGAUCUCAUGUGGAAAUAGAUCUCAUGGGGAUAAAGAUCUCGUUUGGAUGAAGAUCUCAUGGGGAUGAAGAUCUCAUGUAGAUACAGAUCUCAUGGGGAUGAAGAUCUUGUGUGGAUGAAGAUCUCAUGUGGAUAAAGAUCUCAUGGGGAUGAAGAUCUCGUGUGGAUGAAGAUCUCAUGUGGAUGAAGAUCUCGUGUGGAUGAAGAUCUCGUGUGGAUGAAGAUCUCAUGGGGAUGAAGAUCUUGUGUGGGUGAAGAUCUCAUGGGGAUGAAGAUCUUGUGGGGAUGAAGAUCUCAUGUAGAUAAAGAUCUCAUGUGGAUGAAGAUCUCGUGUGGGUGAAGAUCUCAUGUGGAUGAAGAUCUCAUUUGGAUGAAGAUCUCAUGGGGAUGAAGAUCUCGUGUGGGUGCUGUCUCAGACUAACUCUUAUCUGACACCUCGCUCACCACAAGUCUUUCCCUCCUGUCUCCUCUAACGUUCUGUUAUUUCUUCACCCUCCCUUCGCUGUUCAAAGACAGCUUUUCUGUCCUAUUCACUACAUUUGAUGGGCUCGUGCCAAGAGGACGGUGUCUCCUCUCUCCUUCUACCCUUCCCUCCUCCGUCUCCCUUUCACUUCCUCUUCCUCACCAUCUUGUCUCCCUCUCAUCGUCAUCCUCCUCCACGCCUUCCUUUCCUCGCCACCCCUCAGUCUAUUCUGUGGCCCAGCGUGGGUGGCUGAGUUUAAUGAAUUCUCUUUUCUUUCUGCAGCCAGGCGUUGAUUUCUGAUUGUGAAGAGGUGUGCGUGUGUUGUGAGUGUGCGAUGUAUGAAUGAGUGAGUGAGUGAAGUGCUUGCGCACACGCACACAAACACGCACACACUCUCAUAUUUUACUUACUCGCUUUCCGUGCCUUGACUAUGAUCAUUAUAACAGUCUAAAUCUCGGCCUUUAUCCCGAUCAAGGCUUUGCACUUUCCUCUCUCAUAAGAAGCAGAAAGUUGCCGACUGUCAGCGUUAAAGUAGAUUCGCCUCUGGAUGUGUUUGCUGCUGCUGUGAACACUACCUGCCGUCUCCUGCAGCCAGAAACAUGAGUCAAGAAUCUGUUUUGUCCUCUGAUGUCUUACUAAUGCACAGGAAACGGGGGGGGACCCAGUAAAAUGACCGCAGGAAGGAAGUAGACGCUGAAGACCCUGAUCAGAUUCUGUUAUGCGGUGCAUCAGAAUAAUACAUGUAUAGUCUGUUUGGUUUGACCAGCUCACAAGGUCAUGUAACUUUUUGUGCUGAUGAAGCGUCGGAGGAGGGUUUGUGUGCGUCGGAGGAGGGUUUGUGUGAGUCGGAGGAGGGUUUGUGUGAGUCGGAGGAGGCUUUGUGUG